Molecule: long non-coding RNA, 346 nt
Filed under: Elaeis guineensis (African oil palm)
Lineage: Eukaryota; Viridiplantae; Streptophyta; Magnoliopsida; Arecales; Arecaceae
Description: long non-coding RNA (EGUI_LNC000442)
Source: RNAcentral
GCAUUAACUGUCCACUCCACAAUCGUAUAGUAUCGAAAUAAGUAGGACCCACGUGCCUAACUAUACAAUUACAAACAAUUCGUCUAUAAAAGAGAGGUAAAUAAAUAGUGUGGGUAAGAUACUUCUAGGCUGAUACUCUGUCACUUUUGAUAUUUUACUUUUUAUUCGACCAUUCUUCACUGACUUAAGCAUCGAAAGAUCUCCGCUAGAUACAACUCCGAUCAGUGUGGACUUCUUUUGCAGAUAAUUUUCACCGGCAUCAAGCAUUCUAGAAAAUUGGCUGCAACAGAACUGAAAAUGAAACUCUUCCAUCUGUGAUCCAAACGGUCAAUACAAAGAACAUGAC